AGGAGAGCGAGGUUUCCAUUCCAAUUAGGCAGCUGCGUUCUCCAUAAAUGGAGCAGCGGUUGAAGUGCCAGCAGCCAUGUUGCAGAGGCUGUGCAGUGUGGGGGAGAGGAGGCUCAGGGGAGACAUCAUGGCUCUGUGCAGCCACCUGACAGGAGGCUGUGUGAGGUGGGGUCGGCCUCUGCCCCCAGGGAACAGCCAUGGGACGAGAGGGGAUGGCCUCACGUUGUGCCAGGGGAGGUUCAGGUUGGCUGUGGGGUGAACUGGAGACAGCUGAAGCAAUCCUGGUUACAAAAGCUGAUCUACCUUGUGCGAGCCAUCCCAAGAGCUACUGAAACACCUCUGCUCUAGCAGAACCAACGUGCAAGCUGAAGGCUCCAAGCAUUGGUUCGGUGCCCUCAAGGAGCUGACGAGUCUGAACAAGAAGCAGUGCUUAGCCUUCCUGCUGCACCACUCAUCCCUGCAAGGUUUUGGUAGCUUGCUGGUAUGAUUUGGUUUUGACACCUCCUAUUUCUUGCACUCAUGGCAGAGCCACUCUUUGAUUCCUCACUCCUUUUUGUCUUCUUUAAGGUUGACAGCAAAGAACUGGAAUUGAGUUGUUUAUGAUUGCUGGUCACUAUGUCCAUGGGAGGAAAUGACUUAGUUAUUACUUGAUGGCACCGUGCAUUCCAGUUCAUCUCUGAGCAUUAUCCCAUUAAGGGAGAUCUGGCCAACAGCUUUUCAACACUCCCCCGCAUCAAGACAAAUUUCCAUCAUGGAGUUCUGACAAGACAUCCAACAGCCAGUUUGUCUUCAAGCUUCUCCCUGGCAGCCAGGAAAUGAAUUGGAGUUGCUUGUAAAAGCUGCCUGCUGCAGAAGCUGGGGUACAGCCCUAGCGUUUGAAGGAUGUCCUCAGGCUGACUGGAGUUAAAGCCCUCAUUCUCAUCUGGGUGAGUGGGUAAGUUCAUCUGUGAAAAGUAAGAGAAUCUAAUACAGAGAUUUAACACAGUUAAAGUACCACCAAAUACUGUCACCAUUCCUCAGAAAGUCCUGAAGUCAUAUGGUAGGAAGCAGUUAGAUUGGAUUAUACCUAAAACGUAAUACAUACAAGAUCAAGUUCCUAAGCAGUUCUAGCCAUAGACCUCUCCAUCAAGUUAAGCAGAUUGAUACCUACUUAGAUCUGGAGCUUACUUUUCUGCCUGGAGAGAGCAGUGAUGCCAGGAGCAAGGGCAGAGCUGCAGCUAGCCCAGGGCUUAAGCCAUCUGCAGUUAAAUCACAUCCAUAGUCUAAUGGUAGACAAGAGUGGAGUAACAUGAGUAAGUAGCUUUGUGAGUAAGGAUGCCAAGAUCUGGCCUUCUAGAUUUAAUACUUUAAUCUGUCCAAGUGCAUCGAUGCUGUAAUUACAGCCACAGCACAGUCCUUGAGUAGCUGAAGAUUAGAGACCGUCGAUAAUCCCAGCUAUGUCACACAGAUGAAAGCUAUUAAGUGGAUUUACAGAGGACAGGAGGUAUAUAGAAACUCAUUAUUUUCCCACUGAGACAAAACUAUUCAUUAGUAUAUGACAGAGAGCAUACUCUGGAAAAUUGGAAGCGGGUUAUUGAAAAUGAGCAAAUCCCAGUAGUCCUAACACAUACGUGAUGAACUGGUUAUUAAUAUCCAAUCCAGCAAGCUCUGUCACUAAGAUUCAGUACCAUUCCUGGUGGUAUUUGUAAGUCUGCAAGUCCUAGAUGGUACCAGUCUGCAGCAUUAGAGAAGGUAAAAGAAGGUCUCAUUGCAGUCAAGGCAAAUUUCAGGCAGAAGGGUGUUAAGUUCACACACACAAAAACAACAGCAGAGUUCAUUUUAAAGUGUUACUUCAGACAUUCCCACUGCAGCUGAUACAUUAAUUACACCACAGUUUUUAUUAAUUCGGUCUUUAAAGGCUCCCUUGCGAAAUCUUCUUGUGUGAGCAAUUACAGUAAGCAACCGCUCCGGUUUGAAGUGGUUUCAUUGCACCUGCUGUCCCCAGGCUGUAUUAGUUAAUUGUUUUUGUUUAUCCCAUCCUACUCUUCUCUAGUAAUUUGCUUGGCACCGCAAAGACGGCUCACACCGCUUAUAAAGUGCUGUUUAUUCCUGGCAGCCAGAAGUUGAAGAUGUGCCUCCUCUCUUGCUAUGAGCUGCAGCCCACUUCAAACAGCUGGAGGGGAAGCGAGCAGAUGCUCAGCUGUGUUAAGAGGUCUGAUUACCAUUACAGCGUGGAGGAAAAGCAAACACACAAAAAAACAUACCUGCAGUUUGUCCCUAGUCCUUUGUGUAUUUCCCUUUGUGAGGCAUAGCUGUAUGUCUUGUUUGUGCUUCAGGGAGUUCCUGUGUGUGCUGACCUCCCAGGGUCAGGAGCUGCAGUUUCAAGGCUGCUAGUAAAGGAUUUGGGCACUGAACGCCCUAACCAUUAAGCACUUACUUUCUAGGGUGUGGGUUGCAAGCCCAGGCAUCUCAUUUGAGAACAGGGAGAAGCCUCAGGUGGGAAGUCUCACUAGGCAGCUAAGGGAAAGGGAUGGAGGUUGGGUAAAGGAUCCCAGCCUCCUUAUCAGGUUAGGCAGAAACAGUGAGAAUCCUGUCAGCACAGGCUCAGAUUUCACAGGGAAACUCGGCCUGCUGGCACAGAGCAUCAAGAUGGCCCAAGUAUUUUACUGCUCUAGAGGUAUCCCUUCUAACCAGCCCCCUCCACAGGUGCUCUGCAGCUUUCUCUGAUGGAAACUGGCUGCAUCAGAAGCUCUUACAUAGCACCUCCUCAAUAUUAUUCCAAGCAUUGUUGAAAAUAUUACUUCAGGAAGGACUUCAGAGGACUAGAGCUUGUAACACAGCUGUCCAUUGCUAAACAGUCAUAGGCAUGGAAUGCUUCCAGCUGGGAGAGCAGCAAUUAACUCAUGCUACCCUAUGUCUAGAAAAAAUUAACUUUUUCAACUUUGCUGUUGUAAAAGAGCAGAAUUUGGCUCAUUAUCUAAUAGCAAAUUCAAUUCCCUUUGUGUUUCUAUAUGGGACUCUGAGAUGUGCAGUCCACGUGAGCCAACCAGCAUCUAUAGGAGCAACUGUGGUGCAUGCAGCUUUAGAGCAAAAGGACAUCAAGCAGCAGAGGAAAUACAAGGUAUAAAACCACUCUCUUUCCUUCUUCAUUCACUCCCUCUCCAGCUCAGUGCUCAUGUUGAAAGAGUGGUACAAAGGAUUCUCACAGCUAUAACAGAAGUGAACAAAUGGCUGGUAUUGUGACCCACAGGGGUGUGCCAUGCCUAUGUCCAAGCACGUCCUGAAGUGUUAACUUAGUACAAAGAGAGGAUAUUUUUAUUGAUAAACAUUAUAUUGUCUUAGUGUAGAUGUCUGACACGUUAUUAAAUCAAAUGACAGAACAUUUAAAGUAAUUCAUUCUAAGAAAACGUUUUGAUAUUCCAUAGACAAUAGUGCUGUGAAUUCUGUUUAUAGUAUAACACAUUAAAAACACAGAAAUACAAGUUUCUAAUCUCAUAGGUUACCAGCAAACAGAGAAAAAUGCAUGCUUUAAUUUCUGUUGAAUUUGUAACUUACACAGGCAAGUGGAACAGCUAUGCAUAAAAUACUAUUCUACAACAAGCUGUAAAACAAACAUACAGAAAGACUGACCUUAUAAUACUUGUACAAGUAUGACAAAACCAUUGUAACUUAUUUCAGAAGGUAACAAAUAUUUUGUCUGUGGCUCCGCCAUUUUAACAUUUCUAAGCUGACUUCAUUAAAAGCUAUUUUGAAUAGAAUCGUAUUACCGUAAGCCACUGAUUACUUUUUUCCCAGCUGGCUGUCAAUGAAUGUGAUGCAUUACGUGCAUUUGUGCUUGGUUCCAUCUACAUUUUCUUCCUUAUGGACUACGCAGUCUUUGCACUCAGGAAAUGCUGUUUGAUCCCGAGUCGAACAGAAGGUGCUUGUUUUACUCACUUGUUUUGCUGUGCCUCCUGCAGCCUGACCACACCAUAAAGUAGAAGACACAUUAUGCAUGCAAUUCAACAACAUGGGCAUGGUUUCAUCACAGUUUGUACAAGCCUGUGUAGGGAUUGCAUUCAGAUGUCUAAGACUUCAAUCAUGGUACAGUGAUAAGUUUUCCUUAAGAGUCCCAAGCAACUAUUGGAUCUCGAAUGUCCAACCUCCCCCUCCGCCAACCCAUGGACUGAGGAGAAGCACCAGGCCUGUCUUCCUGCUCUGGUAGCCACACUAACACCAAACCACUGCCAAACUGCACCCGGGGAUUCCAGGCAACACACAACUUUGGCAGACAGCAGUAAAAAACCAGCCAAACAAACCAGAAAACAAUAACAACAACAAAAUCCCAAACCAAACAAAAAAUAGCCAGAAACAUCUUCCUGCUUUGGUUUCAGUCUCCAAACAUUCGAUGUGAGAAUAAUUUAUUAUUCCUUUGAUGGUCUUUUGCAAAUACUAUCUUCAUUAGGGGCCUGGUAAUGACUCCCAACUUUACAAGGAGAGGUAAUGAAAUGAAACUAUUCCUCAAGGGAAAAAGAAGCAAAAUUUGUUCCCUCUCUCAGGCACGUAGACUCUUACUGACAAGUUCACCUAAGCAUUAAAGGAAAAGAUAAAAUGCACACUCAUGAAGUGAGGGUAAGUACUGAGCAAGGGACUUUAUAUUCCUCCUGUAUCUGCCCUUCGCCCUGAUAAAAGGGUUUCUUACUGGGAAGAAAUGCCUUUCAUCAGGAGGACAGGAGUUGUUAAGAUAGAUAGUAUUCACACUAAGCCCCACAUAAGUGCAGCCUUGGUGGGCUGAUGGUUGGACUAGAUGAGCUCAGUGGUCUCUUCCAACCUUAAUGAUUCUACCUAUGAACCUCUGCAGAGCUUGCCAGUAUCCCCACUAAACAGUAACCAGCUUUCUGUGAUGCCAUAGCGCUCUUGUUCACACUUGCUCCACACUUGCGCUGUAUAAAUAGAGAUUCAUGCUUUGUGUCCUCUGCUUGCUGUGCAUGUGGAAAAGCCCUUAAGAACUAAGUAAUUCCACAAACUCCUUGCUUUGGCUUCUGUCAAGAAUUCACUGUAGUCAGCAGUAGCUCAAGUUCUGUACUUGCUCAUGUGUCCUAAGCACAGUGUAAUUUCAUAAUACAAAGGUGAAAUAAAGAUAUGUUACACUCAUGACAUUUUGACUCAUCCGUAAGAGUUACUGAAAGGAAUUCGUCCUGAAAAUACAGGAGGAACCCAGACUCAUCCUUGACUACAUGUGGAAGUUCAUUUCAUUUAAUCUUGACAAUGACAUGAAUAUUUAUGAAAGACUUUGCAAUACGUCAUGCAGUUGGCCUUUAUCUUCUAGUUGUUUUCUACUCUAAGACAUCCACAAGUCGUUAGGAGAUACCACCAAAAAUGACCCCACCAUUGCUCUUUUAUUUCCCAGCACUGAGCCCUACUGUAAUUCACGUGGAAGGCAAUGAUACAUGAUAUAUUCUUCUGCGAUUGAGGUCAACUGACCUACCUGAAAUCAAAACAGCACAGCAGAAAUACAGCUGUAUCACAUUUUGAGAGGUGCGCUCAUCUGCCUGGAGGAUUUCAAGAGGGGGAUCCUUGCUUUAGCUCGAGGUGAGGAUUGACGUUGGAUUUUUACUAAUUUGACUAAUUUUUACUAAUUUUGCCAACACAGAGAAACACAUUAUUGAAUCAGAGGCACAACCCCUACCGAACAACCCUAAUCAAUAAAUAAAAUGCAUAAAUAGCUCAGUGCAGAAUUUCCUGACCUCCUCAGUAUCUCUUCUUUUAAAUUACUUUUUAAACCUAUCCUUACAUUCAGAAAUAAUUCCAGCUGGUAAUAAAUCUGAAUGCACGGCUGUAUGCCAUUCUGCUUCUGACCUGCUGAACGAUAGAUGUACAACUGCUGUAUACCAUUAGCAAUACCUUGCUAAUACAACACGGAAAUGACUCGAAAUUCAUCACCACCUCUUCUAUUUGCAAAUAGAUAUGGAUGAGUAUCAUUUAGCAUCUUAGCAGUUGCCAUGAUAGGGCUUUAUUCCCACAGAAAUGGCAGACAGCAUCCACAGGGCUUCAUUUUAACAAUGGUA
Non-coding RNA from Coturnix japonica (Japanese quail), 6026 nucleotides. The record is from RefSeq and is a predicted model, not a curated record. Lineage: Eukaryota; Metazoa; Chordata; Aves; Galliformes; Phasianidae.